RNAcentral lists this ribosomal RNA (506 nucleotides) under uncultured bacterium. Its description in RNAcentral is "partial 16S ribosomal RNA". It matches the Rfam family "Bacterial small subunit ribosomal RNA", at positions 30 to 523 of the family's 1533-position model. The record is from RNAcentral.
AUUGAACGCUGGCGGCAGGCCUAACACAUGCAAGUCGAACGGUAACAGGAAACAGCUUGCUGUUCCGCUGACGAGUGGCGGACGGGUGAGUAAUGUCUGGGAAACUGCCUGAUGGAGGGGGAUAACUACUGGAAACGGUAGCUAAUACCGCAUAACGUCGCAAGACCAAAGAGGGGGACCUUCGGGCCUCUUGCCAUCGGAUGUGCCCAGAUGGGAUUAGCUAGUAGGUGGGGUAACGGCUCACCUAGGCGACGAUCCCUAGCUGGUCUGAGAGGAUGACCAGCCACACUGGAACUGAGACACGGUCCAGACUCCUACGGGAGACAGCAGUGGGGAAUAUUGCACAAUGGGCGCAAGCCUGAUGCAGCCAUGUUGCGUGUAUGAAGAAGGCCUUCGGGUUGUAAAGUACUUUCAGCGGGGAGGAAGGGAGUAAAGUUAAUACCUUUGCUCAUUGACGUUACCCGCAGAAGAAGCACCGGCUAACUCCGUGCCAGCCGCCGCGGUAA